RNAcentral lists this long non-coding RNA (2147 nucleotides) under Taeniopygia guttata (zebra finch). RNAcentral's name for it is "lncRNA (ENSTGUG00000020541.1)". The record is from RNAcentral. Lineage: Eukaryota; Metazoa; Chordata; Aves; Passeriformes; Estrildidae.
UUUUUUUUUUUUUUUAGUUAAUUAACUCUUCCUAUAUCAGCCUGCAAGUUCUACUGUUAUUUGUUCUUCCCAUUGCACUGGUGAGGGUGGGGAGUGAAUUGCUGCUGUGGUGCUUAAUUGCCAGCUGCAUGACAGUGACAAUAGGUUGUUCUUAUUGUGAGGUCUCACAUUUUGGGUGGAAGUGCUAGGUGUGAUAAAAACUCUAUGAAUUACUUCUACACCCCAAAUUAGUUUUGCUUUUUGGAUAAAUGAACUCUUCAGUGGUGGUCAACUGAUGUUCAGCUCUCAGCACUCUGACUAACAGGAAUGUAAUGCUUCCAUUAUUUUUUCCUGUCGCCAUCACAGUUCUGAGUGCUGGAAAAAGCUGCAUUUUGAAUGAAAAGGAAAAAAAGGUUCCUAAGUAAACACAAAAAUAAAUUAGCACUGAAACUGUUACCUUCUCAUCAAUUAGCAUAGAAGAGAACAUGUUAUGGUAAAUUCUGGUAUUCCAAUUUUAUUUUAUUUUUUUUACAUUCUCUUGGCUGCCAGAGUUUCACCCGCCGGCAUGGUCCCAGCAGCUGAGCAGGUGCGUCACGCAGUGAGGGGCUGGGAAAUGAAUCACAUCACUCGCUUUGCCAGGGAGUUUUCAGAAUAGCAAAAUGCGAGUGGGAGCAGCUUUAAAUUAAAACUAACAGAGGCUGUUUAGCACUAGGACAGAAAUAAGAGCAAAUAAAAGCAAAAUUCUGCAGAAAAAUCUCUUGGUGCGUGAAGCACCUGAGAGCACUUGCCAAGGGAAAAGCUGGUGGGUGGGGGUGUCCCGGGUUGGGGCUGUGCUGCUCCCCUGGCACGGAGAACCCCAAGACCCUCCCAGGGCUGUCCCAGGGACCGAGCGGCUGCUGCUCUGUUUUCUGAAAGCAUUUUAUUUGCUUAGUGCCUAGUAUGUGAAAGAUCUUAGCAAAGAUCCAGCCAUCUUAAUAGGUGCUCAUAUAAUACAGUCCUCCCUGUGUUUUUUCUCCUGCAGCAGCCACUAUUAUAACUUCUCAUAUAGUUCCUGAGAGUGAGUUAAACCUCUCUCCCUUUCUCACCCUCACCCCUGAAGUGCGAAGUUUCAAAGCAAAUAGAAAAAGAGCCAACAAUUAAAUUAAUGUUCUGGUGAGGCUGUUGUGUAGGGCUAUGUGUUACUGGGAUGUAUUCUUUUACCACCGUGUGAAGUGCUGAACAGAUCUUGAGAGUGAAUUUAAAGCCACUGACCAAGUGGUCUGUCUUACAUGUCCACGUGCCUUCCCCAUAUCAGUUUGCAGUGCCUGAAAUCUCUUCUUGGGACAGGCACAAACAUUCUGUACAACCACCAUUAAACAGGAACACUGAUGCCCUGGCAUGAAGUACUUGUUAUGAGGAUAUUUUGUACUGCUCACUCUAUUCAACCAUGUGGUCCAUGGAAAAUGGAUGUUUUUCAAUUCACAGUGAUCACUGAGCUUCUUUAGUUUUGUGGAAAAUGUUUGUAGACUUCACUCAGGUCAUUUUAGGGUAGAAAUAAUUUGGCUUGGCAGUCAUAUCUGAAGGAUAAUACACAAGAUAGGCAAUUGCUUUAAAUUACAAGUACAUGGAAAACAUUAAUCUAUUGUUUUCAAAUCUCAUGGCUUUUUAUUUUUUUCCCAGUGAGACUACCUUCCAUUAGUCUGGAAGGUAAUUCAGAUCACCAUGAUAUCUUGAUUUAAACUGGCACUAUUGCAAGGUGCAAUUACUGUGAAACAGCAAAUACUGAAUUAGUAUUGAUGCUUACAAUGCCUUUUGGACUGGUUUUUGGUAUGUUAUUCACAUGCCUAUUGGUAACCUUGAUAUGGGUCAUAUUGAUAGUUUACUGUAGGGGUGUCUUCUUUUUUCUGGAGUUCUUAUGAAAUUUGUGCUGCUGUAUUGCUUCUCUAAGGUGUCUGAGAUAAAAAUCUUGCAAUUUUUGGAUUAUUUUGAAUAUGCAGGUUAUGUCAUAGGAUUUAAUGAUAUUUCUGAAAGAUUAAACCAACAGCCUAUAGGCUUAAGUGUGGUAAUCAAGAAUCUCUACCUCCACUGGCAAGGUAUUUUUAGAAUGCUGAAAGGCAGAGGAACAUACCUUGAAAAUGUGUAGCUUUCAAAACUAUAGACUGGGACAGAGAAGAAAAAAAAAAAAAAAA